GCCAUAGUGGUGGAACUGACAUACACUUCCGUUUUAGGGGCGGACGCCGCAAGGAUUGAGGGUUUGAAUCCCUCCUAUGGCA
RNAcentral lists this transfer RNA (82 nucleotides) under Caudoviricetes sp. Its description in RNAcentral is "tRNA-Leu". It matches the Rfam family "tRNA". From Rfam's summary of the family: Transfer RNA (tRNA) molecules are approximately 80 nucleotides in length. Their secondary structure includes four short double-helical elements and three loops (D, anti-codon, and T loops). Lineage: Duplodnaviria; Heunggongvirae; Uroviricota; Caudoviricetes. The record is from RNAcentral.